GAGGGUAUAGCUCAGUGGUAGAGUGCAUGCCUAGCACGCACAAAGUCCUGGGUUCAAUCCCCAGUAUCUCCA
RNAcentral lists this transfer RNA (72 nucleotides) under Camelus bactrianus (Bactrian camel). It matches the Rfam family "tRNA". Rfam says of the family: Transfer RNA (tRNA) molecules are approximately 80 nucleotides in length. Their secondary structure includes four short double-helical elements and three loops (D, anti-codon, and T loops). Further hydrogen bonds mediate the characteristic L-shaped molecular structure. tRNAs have two regions of fundamental functional importance: the anti-codon, which is responsible for specific mRNA codon recognition, and the 3' end, to which the tRNAs corresponding amino acid is attached (by aminoacyl-tRNA synthetases). tRNAs cope with the degeneracy of the genetic code in two manners: having more than one tRNA (with a specific anti-codon) for a particular amino acid; and 'wobble' base-pairing, i.e. permitting non-standard base-pairing at the 3rd anti-codon position. The record is from Rfam by way of RNAcentral. Lineage: Eukaryota; Metazoa; Chordata; Mammalia; Artiodactyla; Camelidae. RNAcentral also lists the same sequence under 2 other names.